This 152-nucleotide small nuclear RNA is filed under the name Vulpes vulpes (red fox). RNAcentral describes it as "U4 spliceosomal RNA (ENSVVUG00000016905.1)". The record is from RNAcentral. Lineage: Eukaryota; Metazoa; Chordata; Mammalia; Carnivora; Canidae.
AGCUUUGCGCAGUGACAGUAUCAUAGCCAUCAUGAGUUUUAUCUGGGGUAUGAUUAUUGCUAAUUGUAAUACUACAGGAGAAUGCCCUGGACUAGAGAUCAAGGACGUAUUCAUCUUCAGUGUGACUUUGAGACAUCAGUUUUUGUCAUCUG